RNAcentral lists this ribosomal RNA (118 nucleotides) under Pteropus alecto (black flying fox). The record is from RNAcentral. Lineage: Eukaryota; Metazoa; Chordata; Mammalia; Chiroptera; Pteropodidae.
GUCUACGGCCAUGCCACCCUGAACAAGCCCAAUCCGUCUGAUCUUGGAAGCUAAUCAGGGUCGGGUCUUGUUAGUACUUGAAUGGGAGACCACCUAGGAAGACCAGGUGUUGUAGGUG